GGAAGAACCAGGCCUGCUGGUUCCUCCCUAGGGGUUGAGGGAGGAUGAUGAGCCUCGGACCACCCGGAGAAAAACCACACUGAGUCAGGAGUCUUUUCAAUGCAGGAGCUCACUUUAUUGUUACAGAGGUGUCCUCUAUGGUGAUUCCUGAUUAAAGCUACUUAUAGAGAAGAAGAUAAAGCUACUUACAGAGAAGAUGUCAGAGAAGAGGAGGAGAGUUGUGAUCCAUUGAUAAGUGUAAGAAGGUAAUUGACUUCACACCACGAGACUGGCCACCUCUUCCAUCUGUGCCAGGGCCCAGGAGAACCUGCAGUGGAAAAAGCACCAUGAGCACUGCUCUUAUUGCUAACCUGGCAAUCAGCUCCAGGGUGAUGGUGGCAGACACAGUUGAUCAAGCACAACCUAUCAAAGCAGAAAUCCAGAGGCUACAAAGAACUCAUCACUAAAUCCGACUACCAACAGGCAUGCUAGGGAUCAUUUCAGAAGAGGGAGGUGGAUAGAUUGUAAGAGCUACAGAGUAGGUGGGAAUACCUUGAAGCAUGGUCCCCUCACUAUCAUGACCCCACAGUCAAUCCCAUAAAUGGCACAGAGGAGGGCCUCAGGGAAACGGGAACAGGGGAGAGGGAAUAA
Jaculus jaculus (lesser Egyptian jerboa) is the source of this 630-nucleotide long non-coding RNA. RefSeq lists it as uncharacterized. Lineage: Eukaryota; Metazoa; Chordata; Mammalia; Rodentia; Dipodidae. The transcript is spliced from 3 exons. The record is from RefSeq and is a predicted model, not a curated record.